AUCUAUCAACCAUGUGAUAGCACAUAACCACUUACAUUUUUUUAGAAGACAAAAAAAGGUGAUGGAGAGGAAAACACUUGCUAGCUUGUGCUUCUUUCUCAUUUUUCUCUUAGCUGCUCGUAAGUUUAUAUUAUAGUAAUUUGGGAUAUCAUUUUGUAUUUUAGUCAUUGUGUUUAACUCAUAAAACCAUUUUUUAGUACAAUACUUUUUAUUAGAAAAUAAAAACAUGUAUGCAAGCUAUAAUUUAGAGUUUAAUUUUUAUAUGUUUACGAUUUUUAAAGAAUAAUUUUUCAGUUCAGUAAUUAUAAAUAUAUAUACAUAUAUUUUUUUUGAGAGAAUGAAUAUAUCUAUAUAUGUAUGUACAUAUACAUAUAUAUAUAUAUAUAUAUAUAUAUGAUUAUUCAUGAUUGCUUGACACUUUCAAUCAGAUUUUUAAAUACUUGAUUGUAAAUUCUAAUUGAAAUAAUCUUGGUAAAAUUUACUUUUCUCUCGAUCAAAUUAUAUAUCACUAUGGCCAUCUUCCCUUAUGAAUUGAAGAAGGAAAACAUAAAAACAAAUCUUAAAUUUGAUGCAACAAUUUUUUUUCUAUUUAGAAAAAAAUAGAAAUAUAGCAUUGGAAAAUGAUGAAAAGUGAUAAAUUUAACUUUUUAAAAGUCAAAAUAUUGUUGAAACCAAUGCAGACAUGCUACUUUUGGCUUCCUUAAUCAUUGCCCCGAGGGCAAUGGUUAGCAAGACCUUAAUAAUAAUAAUAAUAAUAAUAAUAAUUUUGUCAAAAAAAAUAAUAUACUAAUAAUAAAAAAGUUUUUCUAUCAUAUGCAAAUUAAUUUAAAAUAGUAAUUUUGUUACCUAUCGAGUGAGACACCAAAUCAGCACUUCAGGGGUGCAUGUAUUGGUUCAUCUCGCAAACAAGAAUGUGACUAUGGUUGCAGGAGAGGAGUAGGCUGGAGAGGAGGUUAUUGCAAAAAGCAGAAAUGUGUUUGUGACUGUACAUGUAUUGGUGCAUGUAUAAAUUAUGAUCAUCUCCUACAUAAAUAAAUAAUCUAGCUAGAUUUUAUAUGUUCAUGGAAUAAAUCAUUGAUCAAGAGAAUUAAUUAAUAUAUGGAGUAAUAUGUGUGAUAAGAUAGCAUGUUGUCUUAAUAAAUAAAAUAUGUGUUAUUCUUCAAAAAAAAAAAUGUGUUAAUUAUAUUUGUAGUGUUUUUUUUUAAAAAAAAAAAAAAAAACAAAAUGAUAUUCAUUCAUUUAAAUCGAGAGAUUACAUCAUUCAACACCGCUAAAAACGUAAAGAAUGAAUCUGCGAACAAAGUCACAGCAUCCAAGUUAAUAGCAUAUAACUGCAUAAUGCCUACAAAAAUAUAUGAUGAAAUUAAAGUGAUCGGAAUAUCCAUUGCCUCCGGAUCUGCAACGUUGACGCCCAAAUCUUUGAUUGAACAAUCGAUCUUUUAAUAUGAAUCAAUUGAACACCGCACGAAGAUGGAAAAUCAAACAACGUCGCACAAGACGACGAACAACAAAUCACCACACUUAGAUGAUGAAAUUGCAAAGAAAAAAAAUCUAGAUCUAUGUGAAAAUCACUUAUUUAGAUUGAAAUAAAGAGAAAAAGAUGAAGAUGGGUGAUUUUAGGUCAAUAAUUGAUCCAAAACCACCCCUCAAUGAAGAAACGAAAACCUAGAGAGAGAAAACUAGAGCUGACUUGUUUAUAUUUAUAGUGUUAUAUUUCUUUGCUCAAAAUCGAUAGACCAACGUAGUGUAACAAAACUAAAAGUUAAGAACAAAAAUAUAAAUGGGCAUGUAUAAGACAAAAUAAAACAAAAAUAUGAUCAAGAUUUAUGAGAAUUGUUCAAACUCUUAAAGAUAAAAUUAUGUGGUUUGCAAUUGCAGUUGCACACAUUCAUGUUGGUCUUUUUCGAAGAAGAGAGAAAAAAUUAUUAAAAUUUCGGAAACCGUAAAAUUGUGUCAGAUGUCAAGCUUUGACAUCUGGAAAAUAUUUAUGUAAGAUAUCUCGUGGAAUUUGUACCUACAAAAUAUAGGACCCCCAGCCCGCGCCAAACAUGUCAAAUUUUUUAGCCCCGCUAAUCUCUUUGUGAUACGAUAAAUACAAAGUCACUUGCACGAGCUCUUUGAGCUAUAAGGCUUUUUCUACCUUAAAAUUGAAACACAUUUCUCUUGCCUUAAUUUCAAUACCAAAAAUGAAGUCAUAGCUAGAGUCUUCUAUUCCAUUGGUUCUUAGCUUCAUCUAAUUUCAUUUUCUGCUGUUUGAUGCGAUCAGUCUCAUUCUAAUUGCACUUUUUAGAUGUCUGAAUAACAGAUUUACAACAAAUUAAGUAAUAAACAAAGUUGAAGAAAUUCAGAACCAAUUGUAAAGACUUAACCCAUCAAUCAUUUAGGCAGAGGAUAAAGAAGUAAGCAACUCAAGCAUGCAUAAGGAGAUUGAAAAAGUUUACGAAACAUCACAAGUAAACUUAUAUCAGUAUCGACAUUAAAAUCUGCUGAAGUAUAUGCAAGAGCACCGUGAAGUGAAUCUUCUUUUCCAACACUAGGAAGCGGAAGAAAUUCCUUUCUCGCAGCAGCUUUCAAGUGGUUAAUAGUCUUUGCAUUUUCUGGAAUGUAUCCUUCUUCAUCGUAGUUAACAAAAGGUGACAAGUAAGGUGGAGGAGUGCUGUUAAUAAAAGAAAAAUUUUAGGUUUUUAACGUUUAGCAAUUAAAAUUUCAAUUAGAAACAAAUUAAUCAAACAAAAUGAAAAGAAAAAAGGAUGUGUGGAUUUGUGAUUCCACAAGAAGAUAUCCCUUGAAGAAAAAACAAAUUUUCUCAGAAUAUAAUAUAGGACACUCCUACCAUAUAAGUUUCUAUCGGAAAAAUUAUGCGUGCAUUGACACAAUCAAAUAUCAUAUAUAUUUUUGGUUUUGGUGUUUUCUCCCGUAACCUGUCUGUACGUUCGUAGUUUUUCUUUGUCUCGGCUUUCUUUAUUUUUCUGUCAUGCACUCUAAUUGUUCUAUGUUCUUCCAGCAAAGGUUCACGAUAAAGAAAGCUAACAUCUUUCAAAUGGUAAUAAGUCUGAUGAGUUCCCUUGACCUUUUUCUUAGGCUGCCGGGGUGUUACAGCUUUUGAAAUGCUUAGUUUCCUAAUAUUUGCAAAAGCCAACGUAAAAAUCGAAGUAGUAACACUUCAACACAUUAUAUAGAUGCAUUUUCCGAAUGACAACAGAUCAGUAAUGCCAGAAAUUACAAAUUUGGCAGCAUUUCCCUCCUUUUUCUUCCCCUACGAUACAAAAGUAACAACAUUAAGGGCAUGUUUGGUUUGAAUUUGUCAGAAUACAUUCAGAGCUAAAGUACUUUCCUAUAAAACAUACGUUUGUAUGGACCCUGAUACUUUUUCAUUCUCCUCUUGCCGUUUGAGUUGUUCCAUUUACCAUUUGAACAUAUAUUAUGUUGUUGCAGUAAUGCGAUUUUUUUGGUAAUUACAUAUCCAAAAGUACUUUCAAUAACUAUUAUAUCUAAAUGAAUUACCUUUCAUCAUACAUGCUUUUGACAAGGGUCCCAAACAUAAACAACGCUAGAGCUGACUCAUUUUAAUCAAACUUGAUUUUAUAAAAUGAGGCUUGAUCAAACUAAUAUAGCUAACUUUAAUCCUAACAUGCCUCAAAUAUAUGAAAAGGGCUUACUUUCGUCUAGAAAAUUUUCAUUCUUCUUUUCUAACUAGUUACGGUUAAAAACUAUAAAUUCCAAAAAAACCAAAAAAUAUAUCUACAAAUAUCUGCCUUCGACGCCAACUAAAGCAGAGAGUGUGGCAUCGACAUCGACACUUCAGAUGGAAGACAUGUCCACGCCAACACAAGUAAACACGUUUAAUCAGUGUUGAUGUGUCAGUGUCCGUGUUUGUGUUUCGUAUGCAAAAAGAAAUAACAAUUAACAAUAAGCUCCAACAUUUCAGCAGAAAAAUAUAAUAAUAGCUGAAACUUUUAAGCUUGAGACCCUAAUUUGAUUAUGAACUUUGUGGCAUUAACACUUCUAAUCGAAAGUGUGUCUGGUUUCCGAUGACGUCCGAUGCGAACGUGACUUUGACACAUAUGAUUUUAUUGAACCUUGAAAUUUGGUCAUUUUCCGGCUCUGUAGUGUUUCACCAUUGUUGUUGAUGAAAGUGAAACCACCAUUGGUGACAUUUUUAUUUGGAUGGUGAUAUGUAAGGUUUGAGUCAGGACUAAUGCUUCUUUCCAGGUUUUGAAGAGGUGAUUAGGAGAGUUUGGGAUAAAAAAUAAGUUUGGAAACUCACUAUUCGGCCGCCUAAUGAUCAAUUAAUAAUAAGCCUAAAGAAUUUGAUGUGAUCUUUGAAAGAAGAAAACAUAUCAGAUCCAAUAAAAUAUUACUAAAAUUUAUUAUCGGUCUAAGGUAAUUAAAAAAAAAUGUUGGCUAUUUUAUUGGACCGACAACAUUUAAAAUGGACACAAUUUAUUACUAUAAUUUAUUACUAAAAUUUACUAACAUUUAAAAUGGAAAUUCUUAAUUUGUGGAGCAAUUUAGUAAAGUAAGAAUUGCGGUCUUAUCACUUUUAGCAAGAAUAUUCACUAAUCAACUAUUAAUAAAUAAAUAUCACUAUAUUUCAAUUUUUCAAUAUUAAAAAAAAUGUGAAUCUUACCUAACAUUGAGGUUUAAAUGAGACAUUGAGUCUUGAAGACUCAAAAAAUAAAAAAUUCUCUUGAAUUGGCUACCAAGUCUUAAAAGUUUGAAACCUGUUAGGGAUGGUUCGGGUCACAUUCAUGGUGACUUUUCAAACAAGAAUUAGUGAUUAAAUAUAGUUCUGAUCACAAUUUAAAUUNCAUGGGGGGAGAGAAAAUUAAUCUAGUGCUAUAUGCUUCAUAUAUCCAAGGGUCAUUAAACAUUCGUGCUUGUUGUCGUGUGUUAUUGUCGUGCAUACAAUCAUUUCUCAUUUUUUAAAUGGGACUCACUCAUCAACUAUUAAUAAAUUCAUAUCACUACAUUUCAAUUUGUCAAUAUUAAAAGAAAUAUGGAUCUUACUUAACAUUUAGGUUUUAAAUGAGACAUUGAGUCUUGUAAGACUCAAAAAACUUCUCUCUCAAAUGAGGUACCUAAUAGAUAUUAAGUCUUAAAAAUUUGAAACCUAUUAGGGAUGGUAUGGGUCACAUUCAUGGUGACUUUUCAAACAAGAAUUAGUGAUUAAAUAUAGUUCUGAUCACAAUUUAAAUUGUUGGUGGGAAUACUUUUUCAAUUUUUGGGGUUCUAUAAAUUGGCUACAUCUAUCAACCAUGUGAUAGCACAUAACCACUUACAUUUUUUUAGAAGACAAAAAAAGGUGAUGGAGAGGAAAACACUUGCUAGCUUGUGCUUCUUUCUCAUUUUUCUCUUAGCUGCUCGUAAGUUUAUAUUAUAGUAAUUUGGGAUAUCAUUUUGUAUUUUAGUCAUUGUGUUUAACUCAUAAAACCAUUUUUUAGUACAAUACUUUUUAUUAGAAAAUAAAAACAUGUAUGCAAGCUAUAAUUUAGAGUUUAAUUUUUAUAUGUUUACGAUUUUUAAAGAAUAAUUUUUCAGUUCAGUAAUUAUAAAUAUAUAUACAUAUAUUUUUUUUGAGAGAAUGAAUAUAUCUAUAUAUGUAUGUACAUAUACAUAUAUAUAUAUAUAUAUAUAUAUAUGAUUAUUCAUGAUUGCUUGACACUUUCAAUCAGAUUUUUAAAUACUUGAUUGUAAAUUCUAAUUGAAAUAAUCUUGGUAAAAUUUACUUUUCUCUCGAUCAAAUUAUAUAUCACUAUGGCCAUCUUCCUUAUGAAUUGAAGAAGGAAAACAUAAAAACAAAUCUUAAAUUUGAUGCAACAAUUUUUUUUCUAUUUAGAAAAAAAUAGAAAUAUAGCAUUAGAAAAUGAUGAAAAGUGAUAAAUUUAACUUUUUAAAAGUCAAAAUAUUGUUGAAACUAAUACAGACAUGCUACUUUUGGCUUCCUUAAUCAUUGCCCCGAGGGUAAUGGUUAGCAAGACCCUAAUAAUAAUAAUAAUAAUUUUGUCAAAAAAAAUAAUAUACUAAUAAUAAAAAAGUUUUUCUAUCAUAUGCAAAUUAAUUUAAAAUAGUAAUUUUGUUACCUAUCGAGUGAGACACCAAAUCAGCACUUUUUUAUAUGUUCAUGGAAUAAAUCAUUGAUCAAGAGAAUUAAUUAAUAUAUGGAGUAAUAUGUGUGAUAAGAUAG
Molecule: long non-coding RNA, 6187 nt
Filed under: Medicago truncatula (barrel medic)
Lineage: Eukaryota; Viridiplantae; Streptophyta; Magnoliopsida; Fabales; Fabaceae
Description: long non-coding RNA (MTRU_LNC003908)
Source: RNAcentral